UUACCCUUAUGGAAAUAUAAGCCCUCUGGCACAUAGUUGCGGCAGCAGUAUGGCUAUGCUGCGGCUUUGUUGCUGCAAACUGUUGCGGCUUCGAUGCAGCGAUAGCAUAUUUCGUAUGCAAAUUAGUUUUCUGGCACCAUAAUUGCGGCUAUAUUCUGGCACCGUUGCGGCAAUAUUCUGGCAUCAUGUUGCGGCACUGAUGCGGCUAUAGCGUAAUUCGUAUGCAAAUUAGUUUUCUGGCAUUAUGAUUGUGGCGCUGUUGCGGCGCUAAUACGGCUAUAUUCUUGCAUCAUUUUAGUGACAAAACAUGCGAAUAGGCCGUGUUUUGUAUAAAAUGUAUUGUGCCGGCAAAAACAAGUUGUCAAUGCAUAUAUAUGACAUGCAUUCAUGCAUUAUAAAUUUG
This 403-nucleotide long non-coding RNA is filed under the name Mytilus galloprovincialis (Mediterranean mussel). Lineage: Eukaryota; Metazoa; Mollusca; Bivalvia; Mytilida; Mytilidae. The record is from RNAcentral.